This 703-nucleotide ribosomal RNA is filed under the name Pseudomonas plecoglossicida. RNAcentral's name for it is "bacterial SSU rRNA". It matches the Rfam family "Bacterial small subunit ribosomal RNA", at positions 60 to 760 of the family's 1533-position model. The record is from RNAcentral. Lineage: Bacteria; Pseudomonadati; Pseudomonadota; Gammaproteobacteria; Pseudomonadales; Pseudomonadaceae.
AGUCGAGCGGAUGACGGGAGCUUGCUCCUUGAUUCAGCGGCGGACGGGUGAGUAAUGCCUAGGAAUCUGCCUGGUAGUGGGGGACAACGUUUCGAAAGGAACGCUAAUACCGCAUACGUCCUACGGGAGAAAGCAGGGGACCUUCGGGCCUUGCGCUAUCAGAUGAGCCUAGGUCGGAUUAGCUAGUUGGUGGGGUAAUGGCUCACCAAGGCGACGAUCCGUAACUGGUCUGAGAGGAUGAUCAGUCACACUGGAACUGAGACACGGUCCAGACUCCUACGGGAGGCAGCAGUGGGGAAUAUUGGACAAUGGGCGAAAGCCUGAUCCAGCCAUGCCGCGUGUGUGAAGAAGGUCUUCGGAUUGUAAAGCACUUUAAGUUGGGAGGAAGGGCAGUAAGCUAAUACCUUGCUGUUUUGACGUUACCGACAGAAUAAGCACCGGCUAACUCUGUGCCAGCAGCCGCGGUAAUACAGAGGGUGCAAGCGUUAAUCGGAAUUACUGGGCGUAAAGCGCGCGUAGGUGGUUUGUUAAGUUGGAUGUGAAAGCCCCGGGCUCAACCUGGGAACUGCAUCCAAAACUGGCAAGCUAGAGUACGGUAGAGGGUGGUGGAAUUUCCUGUGUAGCGGUGAAAUGCGUAGAUAUAGGAAGGAACACCAGUGGCGAAGCGACCACCUGGACUGAUACUGACACUGAGUGCGAAAGC